ACGCUCGACACCUACGGGAGGCAGCAGUGGGGAAUAUUGCACAAUGGGGGAAACCCUGAUGCAGCGACGCCGCGUGAGCGAAGAAGUAUUUCGGUAUGUAAAGCUCUAUCAGCAGGGAAGAUAAUGACGGUACCUGACUAAGAAGCUCCGGCUAAAUACGUGCCCGCAGCCGCGGUAAUCUGAGCGGGCUGGCAAGGC
Molecule: ribosomal RNA, 198 nt
Filed under: uncultured bacterium
Lineage: Bacteria
Description: partial 16S ribosomal RNA
Rfam family: Bacterial small subunit ribosomal RNA
Source: RNAcentral